CGCCGGCCCGACCCCGGCCGCGCCUCCCGGCCCCCAGCUCUGCCCCAGUAGAGCCUGGGCCCCCGGAUCGGACCCCGUUGGGUGGGAAGCCCCACUCACAGCGCUCCCGAACGGUGCCCCCCUCCUCGGCCUUCCUCCUCUUUCUCAGGCCCCUCCCUCCGCCCCCGCCUCGGUCCCCUUCUCCUCCGGGCCUCCCCCGCCCCCUGGCCCUCUGAGGGGAGGCCACGCCCCUUCCCAGCCCAGCGCCUCCCCGAUCCCGACGCGCCCGGCCGCCCCACCCGCGGCGGGCAGUCCCGGCCCCUGGCUGGCAUUCCAGGGCGGGUGCAUCCGGUGCAACCGGCGAACGGCGUGGGAGCGGCUGGCGCUCCAAGGAGGCCGCUAUCAGCAGGCAGCCUGGGCCCAGGCGCUCUCUCAAAAUCCUAACGGCUGCCACCGAUUGAACCGUCGCCAGGCUCCGGGCUCCGUGCCAAGCGCUGUCAAAAGGACUGGCCCUUGAACUGGCGCAACUCUAUGCAGAUGGGACUCCUGUGGCCCCCAUUUUAGCGAUGAACAGUCUGAGGCUUAGAGAAGGGACGUGGUGGCCUCUGAGUCUGCGCUGCAGGUGAGCGGGAUCCAGCCCCGGGUCCAGAAUCACAGGCUGGCGCCGGCCCGGCUUGCCCGGACUGGCCCCUGGAGAAGAGGCCGGGCCAGUAGCGGUUGCGCCUGAGCAUUCCCCUUCCAGCAGGAGUCCGGCUUCGUCAUAGCGCACCUGGGGCACUUGGCCAGGCAGAGAGCAGAGCCGGCCCCGUGGGAGACCGCUCCCAUUUUUUGUGAAAUCCUUCGUCCAUUCCAGAGGUGAAGCCGGGAGUUCUGGAGCCCAUAAAUCUGCAGGUUGCGGGGGUGGUUCUGUGGGGAAGGCUCGGCUCUGCUCUGUGCAGUGUCAGCUGGUUCAGCCGGAGCUUGAGGAUCCAUUUUCAAGAUGGCGCAGCCACAUGGCUAGCAAGUUGGUGCUAGCUGUCAGCUGGGAGCUCGGCUCAAGCUGGGGCGCAAGGCCUUGGUUCUUCUCCAGGAGCCUCCUGCACAGGCCGCUGGGCUUCCUCACAGCAAGACGGCCGGGUUUCUAGAAUGAAGAGAGAACAAGCUAGAAGCACAUGGCAGCUCAUGACCUAGCCUCAAAGUCCUGUCGCAUCACCUCCUCUGAAUUCCGUUAGAGGAGGCGAUCACACCCCCCCCGGUGCAAGGGAAGGGGACAUGGUCUCCCUCUCUGGAUGGGGGUUGGCAAGUUCUAGAAGAGCUUUCAGGACAGAAGAUAGUGUUGCAGAUAUUCUUGCUGGCUGGAGACUCAAUCUGGAAAAUACGAUCUGCCCCAAGAGGGUCCUCAGAAUGACGAGUAGAAAUUCCUCUGGUGGGAGCUGAGAGUCUGAAUUGAGCUGAUUUAGAGAAGAAACCAUGCAAUAUCUCUCACACGACCAUUUGUGCACAAAAGAAUAAGAAGUGUGGUAGUGGACAGUGAGUCUUGAGAUUUUCCUUCUUCAGAGUGUCCUCGGGCGGAGUGGGCACCUCCCUGCCCUCCACCUGCACUGUUUCCGUGAAGCUAGAAACUUAAAUAGCACCCAUGUGAUCCUCAGAGCGGCGACCUCCUGAGGUCAUACUGUUGUGAUGCUCGCUUCCGAGAUGUGGAAAUGGAGGCACUGAGAAGGUAAGUAACCUGCCCAAGGUCAGACAACUGGUAGGUGACAGAGGAAAGAGAGAUGGCAGUUUGUAGGCACCCCAGUUUUCAGUUGCAGAAACUGAGCCCCGGGGAAAGGGCCCAAGUUGAGCAGGGCGCAGGGACCCCGAUCUGAGCACCAGCUCUGAGCCGUGUGGUCUAUCAGAGCUCCCUCCCGGGGCCUGGAAGGGACCCUGCUUCCUGCUUGAGGAAGAGGCUGGCCCGAGGAGCUGGGCUCCAGCCUUGCUUGGCACACGGGCUCGGUCCUCUUGCUGGGUCUCGGGCCGCGAGUGUUAGUAGCGGUGUCUCGAGCCCGGGUCUGUUCCUGCGGGUGAGGGGGCUCAGCAGGGCCGCGACCUUUCCUUUCUUCUCCAGAGGACUGAAGGACCUGAACUCUAAGCCCCUUGGGGCUGGGCUGGAGCUGGGACGGGACCCACGUUCCCGCCAGAGGCUGAGCCAUUGCUCCCUUCCUGUCUCGGUCACUGAACAGAGACCCUUCAGACCUCUGCUCUGAGCCCACCCUGCCGCUGCUGCAUCCGAAGGCCCAGGGCUUAAUCCCCCCAGUGCCGGCCUCGGGGCUUUCGGCUCAGUGGGGACGCUGACCAUAAACCAGUGCAGCGGUGCCCUGCCCUGCGAUGCUGCCAUACCAAUAAUGACGACAACAAUAAUAGUACAGCCUUUGUUUUCAAAGCAAACUGUUACCAUGGACCAGACAUUUAAAAAAUGACUUUGAGUAUAUUUAACUAAUUUGAUAAGAAGCCUUUGCGUUGUGCUUUUUUAAAAUUAUUUUUUAACAACUGUGGCAUUUGGGUGACUGGAACUAUGCAAUGAUGUCUCCCUACCCACAGUUCCUUGUUACAGCUGUCCUUUUCCCCGUUUGGGCAUCAGCUCUGCCCCAUGACAGGGGUUGGGCACCCCAAACAGUCGUGAGCCCACACCCCAAUGUGUGCUGAUUUAUUUAUUUAUAAUUGACAUGCACGCACGCACUAAUUUGCUAGCCAUUUUGCAUAUUCUGAACCAUACACAAAAACUUUUUAAAAACAAGAUAAAAAUGAUUUAAAAUAUUCAAUAUAAGCAAAGAUAAAGAUAAAUACAAAGCGAUCUUAUUAUUUCCUCCUUGAACCUCAGUAGAUCCCAUUGGAGACCGUCUACCGUGGCGUCCACACCCCCAGGGAAGAAUCAUUGGAGCAGAAAACAGACGGCUCCUCUGGGCAGCCAUUUUCAGGGUCUCCUGAUGCUCCGUGGUCCCAGGAAUAGAUGGGGAGAUGUUGCCGAAAGCGGGGCUCUCACCCCUUCAUUGGGUGGAGCUGCCCUGACCCAGAGAUCCUCCCCUGAAUCAGGCCCGUGGUUAGAAAGAACACUCCUGAGGCCCAAGAAGCUGACGGUGUAGUGUAGACAUCAUUCCCAUCAUACGGUUGAGAACGCCAAGGCUCAGAGAGCUGAGUGGAAAAAGUUUUGAAUUUGUCACCAGCAUUUCAGAAUUGGGGAAUUUUCACAUUAGUGUUUUAAUGUACAGCUUCUGUUGGAAACCAGAAAAGUCCAAACACCCUGAUGUGUGUCCUGACGGGGCCACAGCCGGCUGGACCCAAGUGUGGCUUCCCCUUCAGUUGUAAUGUACACCCUCCAGCUGGCCACAGUCCCCACCACUCCCUAUUGCACACCCAGCCUGCUUCCCGCGUUUCUGUGACCUGCCUGCUCCCUGUGGGCAGCUGAGUGUGCAUUCUUGGGCUCAACUGAUGUUCUUGAAUUGACGGUCGUCCUGAGAUCUCGCUGAGGAGCAGAGCCACAGACCGCUGCAGGGAGACGGAGACGCUGCGUUCUUCUCUUCCCUUCUCUCCGUGACCCCCCUGAGACAGCUGCAGUGUUAGCACAGCCCGCCCCUGUGAGCGAUGGGUUGGGCUCACGUCCCAGUCGGCUCGCUUUCCAGCCAUGGGACCUUACGCGGGCAUCUUCCCCUCGCCAGGUCUGCUUCCUGGCCUGUGAGCUGCAGGCCGCGCACACACAGCGUCUGCUGCUUUAGGGCCCUAAGAGGACCAGCUAAUUCCAGUUGGUUCCUUUCACCAUCAGAAAUGGAGAGAAAAAACCAAAACUCCUCCAUGCUCUUCCCUCCAAAACGAGCGUGUGUCGCCCUCUGGUGUCCACAGCGCUCAGUGCAGCCUCGAGAGAGGAGAGGAAAGGCUGGGGGUAGGGGGUCCCCACGGGGUCCUGCCCUCGGGUCAGCAGAGCAGAGCCCUGGCACGAGGGCCAGGCAAGCGCAGAGGGGGAUUAGUCUCUCUAGCAGGUUCCAACUGCAGAUUCCCCACCCAGCCCAGGCCAGGAAGCUUGGUGUGGGACCUAUGAGCCAACUCUGGCGGGCCCACAGUCCCUGGGGCACGUGGAGGCCUCGAGGACCCGGUGACUCUUAUUUCAUUGUGGCAAUGAAAUCAUAGUGACCACAGUAGGCUUUAUAGGCACAGGAAGUAGAGUCUGGUUGUUUAUGCAGCAAAAUUUACUAAAAGGCGCUAAUGAAGCCGCUGAGCCAUUGGGUGGGGAGUUGGGGCGGGCUGGAGGUCGGGCCUACACUCAGUUUCCAGAAGUGAGGCCUCAACUAUACCGCAGAGCCGGCCUGAGAAGACAGCUGUCACUGUCCCCAUCCUCCAUCCACUGUGCCUCCGCCCCAGGAAGGCAGCCGUGCGACCCCGGGGAGGCAGCGCCCGGAGGUCCCCUCGGCCGCACCAGCAGCACUCCAAGGCUCCUCGCAGAGCCGGUCGCCCGAGUCCAAGGCUUGCGUGGGAGAGUCAGCCCGGAGGAGCCUGGAAUGUCGCCCGCGGGCCGGCCGCCAGCAGGGCUGGGAGUUUAGAGGUCGAUGCCGACGCCCGGAGGUCGUGGCAAUGGGGGACCUCCUCACGUAUGGAAAGACCAUGCUAAAGAUGCAGGGCAGCCAUGACUGGGACACGUGUCCCCCUGCCGAUGGGGGCCCUGCGCGCUAGGCCCUGGCUUUAUCUCACCUGGCUCAGCCUGACCCUCUGAGGGAGGAGCAGUGACGGUCCCUGUCCUACAGAGAAGGAAACUGAGGCUCAGAGAGUUUAGAUAAUUUGAGUAAGACCUCACCACUGGUAAGUGGCACGGCCAGGAGCGAGCCAGGACUGCCUGACUCUGAAAUCCAAUAAACAUGCUACGCCGCCUGCCCAAAGUGCCUCCUCGGUCAGGACUCGUCGCGUUAACUGAGGACGAGCCAUGGCGUCCAGAAUGAGGGCCUGGAAAGGGCUUCAGAAGCAGCUACCUGCCCGCCUCUCCGGGCUGCCCCUUGGCCGUGUGGUCGUCACUUCUGUGCAGUCAGGCUGCAGUAACAAAGGACCCCCACGUUCUCUUGACUUGGAACCACAAAGGUGUAUUUCUCAUUUCUGUUGCGUGGCCACUGAGCACGGCCGUGGGUCGGGUGAGCCCUGCUCCUUGCGUCUCCCUCAUUCCUAGGUCCAAGGUGAAAACUUGGCCCCUAAGGGGGAGAUGCUCUUCUCAGUCGCAUGGCCCCAGAGCUUCUGCUCAGAUGCGGCGUCUGUCCCUUCCGCCCGCAUGCCAAUGGUUAGAGCGAGUCACACAGCCGAGCGACACCUCCGUGGAGGUGGGGCUGCUGGGCACAGGACAGUGGGCGGGGCUGUCUCGUCUCACAGGGACGGGAGGGGGUGACGGGGAACAAGAGCACGCCCUCAGCCCCGAGAGCUGGAUUCUAGGUCGCGGGGUUACCACAGACCCCAGUUACAGGGCAACUGAGUGAACAAAUGGUGCUUCAUGCUCUCAUUGACUAGAAUGCAUUUUUGCAUCUCACAAAUAUUGCUGAGGGCCUACUGUGUGCUGGGCAAUACUCUACCUUGGAGGAGACAGCAGUAAACAAAACAGUCAAGGGCCCUGCCCCCUUGGAGCUUCUUACCUUCCAGUGGAGGACAGAUAAUAGUAUAUAAUACGUGAGUGGUGAUAAGUGGGCUGGAGAAAAUUGAAGCACAGUGAAGGGUAGGAAGUUUCUAGAAGAGAGAGGCUGUUUUGUAUAACAGGUCAAGGAAGACCGUCUGAGGAGGUGACCUGUGAGCAGAGACCUGAAUGAAGUGAGGGAGUGAGACCUGGAGGAUACCUGGGCAGAGGAGUGGCAUGUGCAAAGGCCCUGAGGCUGAAGCAAGGUUGGAACAGAGUGUGUGAGGGCUGGUAAUAGGAAGUGAGCCAGAGAGGUGGCAGGGACAGCUGGUGGAGGGCCUUACGGGCUUGGGCUUCUGCUCAGAGGGAAGGAUGGGAGCAGGGGAAUAGCAUGACAUGACUCAUGAUUUAUGGGGUCCCUCGGGCAGCUGGGUUGAGAAUAGAGUGUAGGGGGGCAAGGUUAGAAGAGGGGGAACCAGUGAGGAGGCCACCGCAAUAAUCCCGACCUGGCCCACGGUGGCCCACUGAGCAUUCAGAAGCACUUUUGUCAAUUUAUUUAUAUUCCCCAGAGCAGCCCACAAUCACGAGGAGAGGAGACGAGAAGGCAUCGCCGAUAAAGGCAAGAGGAUGGAACUGUGGCAGACAGAGACAGGGAAAUUCUAUCUCUGAAAAGCCCAGUUACAAAAGCUCCAGUGAGCACGAAACUGAGGGCUGGAAAUGUGGCAAUAGUCUGGCUCCGUGCUCUCCGGAGCCAGCUGUGCGGUGACGACAUCUUCACCCUGUGUGGACGUGCCUGGGCUCCCCUGGGCUGGCUCAGCGGGGAGGGGCUUCGGGCCGCACGACCCCUUCCCCCGGCAGCUCUGCUCUCAACUGUUUCCAACUGUAUAUCAGAAUAAGAUUUCUUCCAAAGAAAGGGUGAUAGACACACACCCCCCAUGAAAAGAUUGGAACAUUUUGAAAAAAAUGUUUACCGAAAAUGUGCUCUCUGACUAAUGAACAGGAAGCCUGCUCUGAUGUUUCUGUAGGAAAACGGCAUAAGAACGUUUGCGCUUCCGGGGGAUCCGGUGAGAAGACUCGAGCGAGCGGUAAUUGCAUCUCGAUGGUUCUUCCUGAAGGUGGACAUCCAGAGUCCACGCUGCGUGGUGGGCCAGGAACCACUGCUGUCGUCUUCCCCACGCUGUGAGGUGUGAAUGUUUUGUAUGAAAGAGGAAAACCCUGUGGAGAAAGAAGGUGAGCCAGGAGACCGAGGAAAUCUAAUCCAGAAAAUAAUCUAGAAAGUUUGCCAAUGAAAGAAAUGAACGGAUGAGGCCAUUCGCUGGCCGCUCGUGUGGCUCCAUCUCCGGCACAUAGUUUUUUCCAUGUAUGAGAAAACAACGAUUAUAAACGUGUUGUUGGUUCUGGAAAUCAGCACAUUCUUGAGCCCAACGUGGGGUUUUUGG
Molecule: non-coding RNA, 7011 nt
Organism: Equus caballus (horse)
Lineage: Eukaryota; Metazoa; Chordata; Mammalia; Perissodactyla; Equidae
Source: RefSeq, a predicted model, not a curated record